Molecule: ribosomal RNA, 301 nt
Filed under: uncultured bacterium
Lineage: Bacteria
Description: partial 16S ribosomal RNA
Rfam family: Bacterial small subunit ribosomal RNA
Source: RNAcentral
CAGCCGCCGCGGUAAUACGGAGGAUCCAAGCGUUAUCCGGAAUCAUUGGGUUUAAAGGGUCCGUAGGCGGUUUAGUAAGUCAGUGGUGAAAGCCCAUCGCUCAACGGUGGAACGGCCAUUGAUACUGCUGAACUUGAAUUAUUAGGAAGUAACUAGAAUAUGUAGUGUAGCGGUGAAAUGCUUAGAGAUUACAUGGAAUACCAAUUGCGAAGGCAGGUUACUACUAAUUGAUCGACGCUGAUGGACGAAAGCGUGGGGAGCGAACAGGAUUAGAGACCCCUGUAGUCCCUGUCUCUUAUAC